GACGAACGCUGGCGGCGUGCCUAAUACAUGCAAGUGGGACGCAAGGGAACACACUGUGCUUGCACACCGUGUUUUCUUGAGUCGCGAACGGGUGAGUAACGCGUAGGUAACCUGCCUAUUAGCGGGGGAUAACUAUUGGAAACGAUAGCUAAUACCGCAUAAUAUUAAUUAUUGCAUGAUAAUUGAUUGAAAGAUGCAAGCGCAUCACUAGUAGAUGGACCUGCGUUGUAUUAGCUAGUUGGUAAGGUAAGAGCUUACCAAGGCGACGAUACAUAGCCGACCUGAGAGGGUGAUCGGCCACACUGGGACUGAGACACGGCCCAGACUCCUACGGGAGGCAGCAGUAGGGAAUCUUCGGCAAUGGACGAAAGUCUGACCGAGCAACGCCGCGUGAGUGAAGAAGGUUUUCGGAUCGUAAAGCUCUGUUGUAAGUCAAGAACGUGUGUGAGAGUGGAAAGUUCACACAGAACGGAGCUACCA
Molecule: ribosomal RNA, 480 nt
Filed under: Streptococcus mutans
Lineage: Bacteria; Bacillati; Bacillota; Bacilli; Lactobacillales; Streptococcaceae
Description: bacterial SSU rRNA
Rfam family: Bacterial small subunit ribosomal RNA
Source: RNAcentral